This 354-nucleotide transfer-messenger RNA is filed under the name Desulfobacterales. RNAcentral describes it as "GCA-002779465 sp019309485 Standard tmRNA". It matches the Rfam family "transfer-messenger RNA". Rfam says of the family: Bacterial tmRNA, also known as 10Sa RNA or SsrA, is named for its dual tRNA and mRNA-like properties. Lineage: Bacteria; Pseudomonadati; Thermodesulfobacteriota; Desulfobacteria. RNAcentral also lists the same sequence under 2 other names. The record is from RNAcentral.
GGGGGCGAAACGGCUUCGACGGGGAUGAUGAAGCGUCGACUGCAUACCGAGCGCCUGUCAGCUCGUAAAAAAGACGGGAAUUAAAUAUAAUCGCAGACGAUUAUAACUACGCCCUGGCCGCUUAAGCGGCCAGCGUCCCACCGGAUACAGCCUGCGGAUCCGAAUGGGGCGUCGACAAGCAGGCUAGCCGACCCCCGAUUCCUGAUACGAGGAAGGCGAAACGCGCUCAGGAUAGUCUUUCAGCCAUCUUGCCUGAUAGUGACCUGAAAGGCGAAACACCAAGUUCAGGCUAUGUAUGUAGACGUUGAUGUGGAUUAUUUCCGGACGCGGGUUCGACUCCCGCCGCCUCCACCA